RNAcentral lists this unclassified non-coding RNA (339 nucleotides) under soil metagenome. Its description in RNAcentral is "partial contains 5.8S ribosomal RNA, internal transcribed spacer 2, and large subunit ribosomal RNA". The stretch from base 1 to 120 matches the Rfam family "5.8S ribosomal RNA", at positions 35 to 154 of the family's 154-position model. The record is from RNAcentral.
GAUGAAGAACGUAGCGAAAUGCGAUAACUAAUGUGAAUUGCAGAAUUCAGUGAAUCAUCGAGUCUUUGAACGCACAUUGCGCCCCCUGGUAUUCCGGGGGGCAUGCCUGUCCGAGCGUCAUUGCUGCCCUCAAGCACGGCUUGUGUGUUGGGCUCCGUCCCCCCGGGGACGGGCCCGAAAGGCAGCGGCGGCACCGAGUCCGGUCCUCGAGCGUAUGGGGCUUUGUCACCCGCUCUGUAGGCCUGGCCGGCGCCAGCCGACAACCCAUCAUCCUUUUCAGGUUGACCUCGGAUCAGGUAGGGAUACCCGCUGAACUUAAGCAUAUCAAUAAGCGGAGGA